CAAGGCAGACGGCUCAGUAACACGUAGUCAACCUAACCUGUGGACGGGCAUAACCUCGGGAAACUGAGAAUAAUACCCGACAGGCCAUGAUGCCUGGAACGGUUCAUGGCCCAAACGAUUUAUCGCCGCAGGGUGGGACUGCGUUCUAUCAGCUUGUUGGUGAGGUAAUGGCCCACCAAGGCUAUAACAGAUACGGGCUCUGAGAGGAGAAGCCCGGAGAUGGGUACUGAGACACGGACCCAGGCCCUAUGGGGCGCAGCAGGCGAGAAACCUUUGCAAUGUGCGAAAGCACGACAAGGUUAAUCCGAGUGUUUCCCGCUAAGGGAAUCUUUUGCCGGUCCCAAAAGCACCGGCGAAUAAGGGGUGGGCAAGUUCUGGUGUCAGCCGCCGCGGUAAAACCAGCACCUCGAGUGGUCAGGAGGAUUAUUGGGCCUAAAGCAUCCGUAGCCGGCCGCGUAAGUUUUCGGUUAAAUCCAUGCGCUCAACGUAUGGGCUGCCGGGAAUACUGCGCAGCUAGGGAGUGGGAGAGGUAGACGGUACUCGGCAGGAAGGGGUAAAAUCCGGUGAACUGCCGAUGACCACCUGUGGCGAAGGCGGUCUACUAGAACACGUCCGACGGUGAGGGAUGAAAGCUGGGGGAGCAAACCGGAUUAGAUACCCGGGUAGUCCCAGCUGUAAACAAUGCAAACUCGGUGAUGCAUCAGGUUGUGCUUGGUGCAGUGCCGCAGGGAAGCCGUUAAGUUUGCCGCCUGGGAAGUACGUACGCAAGUAUGAAACUUAAAGGAAUUGGCGGGGGAGCACCACAAGGGGUGAAGCCUGCGGUUCAAUUGGAGUCAACGCCGGG
RNAcentral lists this ribosomal RNA (844 nucleotides) under uncultured crenarchaeote. Its description in RNAcentral is "bacterial SSU rRNA". It matches the Rfam family "Archaeal small subunit ribosomal RNA", at positions 77 to 922 of the family's 1478-position model. The record is from RNAcentral. Lineage: Archaea; Thermoproteati; Thermoproteota.